CUUUAUUUAUUUUUUUUGGGGGGGGGAUACCUGCAAAAAGGCUUUUUGUAAAGAUUCCUCUCUUUUUUUUCCCCUUAGAUCUGUGACACGACUGUCAUCCAAAAAAGCGAGAAAAUGCCACAGAUGGCGAUAGCUGCUGGGCAGCCCAUGUUCGACGGUCUCCUGAGUCUGCGUAGGGCCGUGUGUGCAACAGUCCACUCACACCCAGACGAGUGGGGGGCUCAACGAGGACACAUGACUCCUCGCCUCUCAGUCUUUUCUAUCUCAGGCCUUCGCUUCCUGUCUGGCAGUUGGAACAUGGAUGGAGCAAUUUGAGCUUGGUACCUUGCCCAAGGGUGCAAAUGUGAUCUGAACAUGCUGUCAGGAGGCCUGAUCACUACACACUCCACGCUGCUGCCAGGUGAACCUGAUUUUCUUUUGUUAAUUCUGAGCAAAAUGUGGUAUUAAAAGACAUUUCUCUGGUACUUGACAGGUCUGAUCUUUAUUUUGGAAAAGUUCAAGUGGGGAGCUGUGUCAGCAUGCGUAGGCUGCAAAGGAACAAGUAAA
Molecule: long non-coding RNA, 546 nt
Filed under: Lepisosteus oculatus (spotted gar)
Lineage: Eukaryota; Metazoa; Chordata; Actinopteri; Semionotiformes; Lepisosteidae
Description: lncRNA (ENSLOCG00000022044.1)
Source: RNAcentral